Molecule: transfer RNA, 71 nt
Filed under: Bos taurus (domestic cattle)
Lineage: Eukaryota; Metazoa; Chordata; Mammalia; Artiodactyla; Bovidae
Also listed under: 5 other names
Rfam family: tRNA
About the family: Transfer RNA (tRNA) molecules are approximately 80 nucleotides in length. Their secondary structure includes four short double-helical elements and three loops (D, anti-codon, and T loops).
Source: Rfam by way of RNAcentral
UCCCUGGUGUCUCAGAGGUAAAGAAUCUGCCUGCCAACGCAGAGGACAUGGGUUUGAGCCCGAUCUGGGAA